This 108-nucleotide Y RNA is filed under the name Prolemur simus (greater bamboo lemur). Its description in RNAcentral is "Y RNA (ENSPSMG00000023569.1)". It matches the Rfam family "Y RNA". Rfam says of the family: Y RNAs are components of the Ro ribonucleoprotein particle (Ro RNP), in association with Ro60 and La proteins. The Y RNAs and Ro60 and La proteins are well conserved, but the function of the Ro RNP is not known. Lineage: Eukaryota; Metazoa; Chordata; Mammalia; Primates; Lemuridae. The record is from Rfam by way of RNAcentral.
GGGUCGUGUGAAGGUAGUGAGUUAUCUCACUUGACUGUUCACAGUCACAGAUGGAACUCCUUGUUCCACUCUUCCCCCCUUCUCACCACUGCACUUGACUAGUCUUUA